GAUGAACAAUUUGAGGAGUCUAAAAUGAAUACAUUCUCAACCUCCAGGCUUAAAGCAACGCUCCAUAACUUAAUUCCAUCUCUUAUGGCCAGCAUUUCUUCUAACAAUCACGAUUUCAAAGGAUUUUCAGAUAUCGAUAGCCUUUAUAGCAAAGGGCUACUUUUGAAGCUUGGUCUUCAGGAUGAAGUCUUAAAAAAGCUUCCAUUGCCUAAGGUUGUUAGCACUAUCAAAGAAGGAGAUCUUCUCAAAUACGACACGCCAAAGAUACUAUCAAAGGACAAAUUUGCCUGGUUACGAGAUGAUGAAUUUGCUCGACAAGCAAUAGCAGGAGUGAACCCAGUGUCUAUCGAAAAGCUUCAGGUUUUUCCACCAGUAAGCAAGCUUGAUCCUGAAAUCUAUGGCCCUCAAGAAUCCGCCCUCAAGGAGGAGCACAUUCUUGGUCAUCUCAAUGGCAUGACUGUUCAAGAGGCUUUGGAUGCAAAUAAGCUUUUCAUUCUGGAUCAUCAUGAUGUAUAUCUACCAUUUCUCGAUCGGAUCAAUGCACUUGAUGGCCGCAAAGCAUAUGCAACACGCACCAUUUAUUUCUUGUCUGAUGUUGGCACACUUAAGCCCAUUGCCAUUGAACUUAGCCUCCCCCAGACUGGUCCAAGUUCACGAUCCAAACGUGUUGUCACUCCGCCUGUUUGUGCCACUGGUAACUGGAUGUGGCAGAUCGCUAAAGCACACGUCUGUGCUAAUGAUGCUGGAGUUCACCAACUCGUCAACCACUGGUUGCGUACACAUGCAAGCUUGGAACCAUUUAUAUUGGCAGCACAUAGGCAGUUAAGCGCGAUGCAUCCUAUUUAUAAGCUUUUGGAUCCACAUAUGAG
This 869-nucleotide unclassified non-coding RNA is filed under the name Hevea brasiliensis (rubber tree). The record is from RNAcentral. Lineage: Eukaryota; Viridiplantae; Streptophyta; Magnoliopsida; Malpighiales; Euphorbiaceae.